AUUGAACGCUGGCGGCAUGCUUUACACAUGCAAGUCGAACAGCAGCGGGGAGGAGCUUGCUUCUCUGCCGGCGAGUGGCGAACGGGUGAGUAAUACAUCGGAACGUGUCGAGAAGAGGGGGAUAACCACCCGAAAGGGUGGCUAAUACCGCAUAAAUUCUGAGGCAGAAAGCUGGGGACCUAGGAAUAGGCCUAGCGCUUUUUGAGCGGCCGUUGUCGGAUUAGCUAGUUGGUGAGGUAAAGGCUCACCAAGGCGAAGAUCUGUAGCGGGUCUGAGAGGAUGAUCCGCCACACUGGGACUGAGACACGGCCCAGACUCCUACGGGAGGCAGCAGUGGGGAAUUUUGGACAAUGGGGGCAACCCUGAUCCAGCCAUGCCGCGUGUAUGAAGAAGGCCUUAGGGUUGUAAAGUACUUUUGUUAGGGAAGAAAAGUCAGCUGUGAAUAAUGGCUGAUACUGACGGUACCUAAAGAAUAAGCACCGGCUAACUACGUG
RNAcentral lists this ribosomal RNA (494 nucleotides) under uncultured bacterium. Its description in RNAcentral is "partial 16S ribosomal RNA". It matches the Rfam family "Bacterial small subunit ribosomal RNA", at positions 30 to 507 of the family's 1533-position model. The record is from RNAcentral.